GACGAACGCUGGCGGCGUGCUUAACACAUGCAAGUCGAACGGAAAGGCCCUGCUUUUGUGGGGUGCUCGAGUGGCGAACGGGUGAGUAACACGUGAGUAACCUGCCCUUGACUUUGGGAUAACUUCAGGAAACUGGGGCUAAUACCGGAUAGGAGCUCCUGCUGCAUGGUGGGGGUUGGAAAGUUUCGGCGGUUGGGGAUGGACUCGCGGCUUAUCAGCUUGUUGGUGGGGUAGUGGCUUACCAAGGCUUUGACGGGUAGCCGGCCUGAGAGGGUGACCGGCAACAUUGGGACUGAGAUACGGCCCAGACUCCUACGGGAGGCAGCAGCGGGGAAUAUUGCACAAUGGGCGGAAGCCUGAUGCAGCAACGCCGCGUGCGGGAUGACGGCCUUCGGGUUGUAAACCGCUUUCGCCUGUGACGAAGCGUGAGUGACGGUAAUGGGUAAAGAAGCACCGGCUAACUACGUG
Molecule: ribosomal RNA, 468 nt
Filed under: uncultured bacterium
Lineage: Bacteria
Description: partial 16S ribosomal RNA
Rfam family: Bacterial small subunit ribosomal RNA
Source: RNAcentral